Molecule: ribosomal RNA, 396 nt
Filed under: uncultured bacterium
Lineage: Bacteria
Description: partial 16S ribosomal RNA
Rfam family: Bacterial small subunit ribosomal RNA
Source: RNAcentral
UUGCGCAAUGGGGGAAACCCUGACGCAGCAACGACGCGUGAAAGAAGAAGGUCUUCGGAUUGUAAACUUUUGUCUGUUGGGAAGAAGUAUGACGGUACCAAAGGAGGAAGCCGCGGCUAACUACGUGCCAGCAGCCGAGGUAAUACGUAGGUGGCAAGCGUUGUCCGGAAUUACUGGGUGGAAAGGGCGUGUAGGCGGGCAAUCAAGUCAGAUGUGAAAUACCGAAGCUUAACUUCGGGGCUGCAUUUGAAACUGAUUGUCUUGAGUGCAGGAGAGGAAAGCGGAAUUCCUAGUGUAGCGGUGAAAUGCGUAGAUAUUAGGAGGAACACCAGUGGCGAAGGCGGCUUUCUGGACUGUAACUGACGCUGAGGCGCGAAAGCGUGGGGAGCAAACAGG